RNAcentral lists this transfer RNA (73 nucleotides) under Candidatus Woesearchaeota archaeon. Its description in RNAcentral is "tRNA-Pro". It matches the Rfam family "tRNA". From Rfam's summary of the family: Transfer RNA (tRNA) molecules are approximately 80 nucleotides in length. Their secondary structure includes four short double-helical elements and three loops (D, anti-codon, and T loops). The record is from RNAcentral. Lineage: Archaea; Nanobdellati; Candidatus Woesearchaeota.
GGGGCUGUAGUGUAGCUUGGUAUCACUCAAGGUUCGGGGCCUUGCAACCGGAGUUCGAAUCUCCGCAGCCCCA